RNAcentral lists this ribosomal RNA (2903 nucleotides) under Salmonella enterica. RNAcentral's name for it is "23S ribosomal RNA". It matches the Rfam family "Bacterial large subunit ribosomal RNA". Lineage: Bacteria; Pseudomonadati; Pseudomonadota; Gammaproteobacteria; Enterobacterales; Enterobacteriaceae. The record is from RNAcentral.
UUAAGCGACUAAGCGUACACGGUGGAUGCCCUGGCAGUCAGAGGCGAUGAAGGGCGUGCUAAUCUGCGAUAAGCGCCGGUAAGGUGAUAUGAACCGUUAUAACCGGCGAUACCCGAAUGGGGAAACCCAGUGUGUUUCGACACACUAUCAUUAACUGAAUCCAUAGGUUAAUGAGGCGAACCGGGGGAACUGAAACAUCUAAGUACCCCGAGGAAAAGAAAUCAACCGAGAUUCCCCCAGUAGCGGCGAGCGAACGGGGAGGAGCCCAGAGCCUGAAUCAGCAUGUGUGUUAGUGGAAGCGUCUGGAAAGGCGCGCGAUACAGGGUGACAGCCCCGUACACAAAAGCGCAUGUGCUGUGAGCUCGAUGAGUAGGGCGGGACACGUGGUAUCCUGUCUGAAUAUGGGGGGACCAUCCUCCAAGGCUAAAUACUCCUGACUGACCGAUAGUGAACCAGUACCGUGAGGGAAAGGCGAAAAGAACCCCGGCGAGGGGAGUGAAAAAGAACCUGAAACCGUGUACGUACAAGCAGUGGGAGCACCCUUUGGGGUGUGACUGCGUACCUUUUGUAUAAUGGGUCAGCGACUUAUAUUCUGUAGCAAGGUUAACCGAAUAGGGGAGCCGGAGGGAAACCGAGUCUUAAUUGGGCGUUAAGUUGCAGGGUAUAGACCCGAAACCCGGUGAUCUAGCCAUGGGCAGGUUGAAGGUUGGGUAACACUAACUGGAGGACCGAACCGACUAAUGUUGAAAAAUUAGCGGAUGACCUGUGGCUGGGGGUGAAAGGCCAAUCAAACCGGGAGAUAGCUGGUUCUCCCCGAAAGCUAUUUAGGUAGCGCCUCGUGAAUUCAUCUCCGGGGGUAGAGCACUGUUUCGGCUAGGGGGCCAUCCCGGCUUACCAACCCGAUGCAAACUGCGAAUACCGGAGAAUGUUAUCACGGGAGACACACGGCGGGUGCUAACGUCCGUCGUGAAGAGGGAAACAACCCAGACCGCCAGCUAAGGUCCCAAAGUCAUGGUUAAGUGGGAAACGAUGUGGGAAGGCCCAGACAGCCAGGAUGUUGGCUUAGAAGCAGCCAUCAUUUAAAGAAAGCGUAAUAGCUCACUGGUCGAGUCGGCCUGCGCGGAAGAUGUAACGGGGCUAAACCAUGCACCGAAGCUGCGGCAGCGACGCUGAUGCGUUGUUGGGUAGGGGAGCGUUCUGUAAGCCUGCGAAGGUGGCCUGUGAGGGUUGCUGGAGGUAUCAGAAGUGCGAAUGCUGACAUAAGUAACGAUAAAGCGGGUGAAAAGCCCGCUCGCCGGAAGACCAAGGGUUCCUGUCCAACGUUAAUCGGGGCAGGGUGAGUCGACCCCUAAGGCGAGGCCGAAAGGCGUAGUCGAUGGGAAACGGGUUAAUAUUCCCGUACUUGGUGUUACUGCGAAGGGGGGACGGAGAAGGCUAUGUUGGCCGGGCGACGGUUGUCCCGGUUUAAGCGUGUAGGUGUGUGUUCCAGGUAAAUCCGGUUCACUUUAACACUGAGGCGUGAUGACGAGGCACUACGGUGCUGAAGCAACAAAUGCCCUGCUUCCAGGAAAAGCCUCUAAGCAUCAGGUAACAUCAAAUCGUACCCCAAACCGACACAGGUGGUCAGGUAGAGAAUACCAAGGCGCUUGAGAGAACUCGGGUGAAGGAACUAGGCAAAAUGGUGCCGUAACUUCGGGAGAAGGCACGCUGACACGUAGGUGAAGUGAUUUACUCAUGGAGCUGAAGUCAGUCGAAGAUACCAGCUGGCUGCAACUGUUUAUUAAAAACACAGCACUGUGCAAACACGAAAGUGGACGUAUACGGUGUGACGCCUGCCCGGUGCCGGAAGGUUAAUUGAUGGGGUCAGCGCAAGCGAAGCUCCUGAUCGAAGCCCCGGUAAACGGCGGCCGUAACUAUAACGGUCCUAAGGUAGCGAAAUUCCUUGUCGGGUAAGUUCCGACCUGCACGAAUGGCGUAAUGAUGGCCAGGCUGUCUCCACCCGAGACUCAGUGAAAUUGAACUCGCUGUGAAGAUGCAGUGUACCCGCGGCAAGACGGAAAGACCCCGUGAACCUUUACUAUAGCUUGACACUGAACAUUGAGCCUUGAUGUGUAGGAUAGGUGGGAGGCUUUGAAGUGUGGACGCCAGUCUGCAUGGAGCCGGCCUUGAAAUACCACCCUUUAAUGUUUGAUGUUCUAACGUGGACCCGUGAUCCGGGUUGCGGACAGUGUCUGGUGGGUAGUUUGACUGGGGCGGUCUCCUCCUAAAGAGUAACGGAGGAGCACGAAGGUUGGCUAAUCCUGGUCGGACAUCAGGAGGUUAGUGCAAUGGCAUAAGCCAGCUUGACUGCGAGCGUGACGGCGCGAGCAGGUGCGAAAGCAGGUCAUAGUGAUCCGGUGGUUCUGAAUGGAAGGGCCAUCGCUCAACGGAUAAAAGGUACUCCGGGGAUAACAGGCUGAUACCGCCCAAGAGUUCAUAUCGACGGCGGUGUUUGGCACCUCGAUGUCGGCUCAUCACAUCCUGGGGCUGAAGUAGGUCCCAAGGGUAUGGCUGUUCGCCAUUUAAAGUGGUACGCGAGCUGGGUUUAGAACGUCGUGAGACAGUUCGGUCCCUAUCUGCCGUGGGCGCUGGAGAACUGAGGGGGGCUGCUCCUAGUACGAGAGGACCGGAGUGGACGCAUCACUGGUGUUCGGGUUGUCAUGCCAAUGGCACUGCCCGGUAGCUAAAUGCGGAAGAGAUAAGUGCUGAAAGCAUCUAAGCACGAAACUUGCCCCGAGAUGAGUUCUCCCUGAGACUUAGAGUCUCCUGAAGGAACGUUGAAGACGACGACGUUGAUAGGCCGGGUGUGUAAGCGCAGCGAUGCGUUGAGCUAACCGGUACUAAUGAACCGUGAGGCUUAACCU